GUGGGGUGAUGGCCUACCAAGGCGACGACGGGUAGCCGGCCUGAGAGGGCGACCGGCCACACUGGGACUGAGACACGGCCCAGACUCCUACGGGAGGCAGCAGUGGGGAAUAUUGCGCAAUGGGCGGAAGCCUGGCGCAGCGACGCCGCGUGGGGGAUGACGGCCUUCGGGUUGUAAACCUCUUUCGGCCCCGACGAAGCGUGAGUGACGGUAGGGGUAGAAGUAGCACCGGCCAACUGCGUGCCAGCAGCCGCGGUAACACGUAGGGUGCGAGCGUUGUCCGGAAUUAUUGGGCGUAAAGAGCUCGUAGGCGGUGUGUCGCGUCGGCCGUGAAAACCUGCAGCUUAACUGUGGGCUUGCGGUCGAUACGGGCAUCACUGGAGUUCGGCAGGGGAGACUGGAAUUCCUGGUGUAGCGGUGAAAUGCGCAGAUAUCAGGAGGAACACCGGUGGCGAAGGCGGGUCUCUGG
This 469-nucleotide ribosomal RNA is filed under the name uncultured actinomycete. RNAcentral's name for it is "bacterial SSU rRNA". It matches the Rfam family "Bacterial small subunit ribosomal RNA", at positions 252 to 732 of the family's 1533-position model. Lineage: Bacteria; Bacillati; Actinomycetota; Actinomycetes; Actinomycetales. The record is from RNAcentral.